This 264-nucleotide ribosomal RNA is filed under the name uncultured Ascomycota. RNAcentral describes it as "partial 18S ribosomal RNA". It matches the Rfam family "Eukaryotic small subunit ribosomal RNA", at positions 619 to 888 of the family's 1831-position model. Lineage: Eukaryota; Fungi; Ascomycota. The record is from RNAcentral.
UUAAAAAGCUCGUAGUUGAACCUUGGGCCUGGCUGGCCGGUCCGCCUCACCGCGUGCACUGGUUCGGCCGGGCCUUUCCCUCUGGGGAACCUCAUGCCCUUCACUGGGUGUGAUGGGGAACCAGGACUUUUACUGUGAAAAAAUUAGAGUGUUCAAAGCAGGCCUAUGCUCGAAUACAUUAGCAUGGAAUAAUAGAAUAGGACGUGUGGUUCUAUUUUCUUGGUUUCUAGGACCGCCGUAAUGAUUAAUAGGGACAGUCGGGGG